UAACGCGAAGAACCUUACCAAGGCUUGACAUACACCGGAAAACCCUGGAGACAGGGUCCCCCUUGUGGUCGGUGUACAGGUGGUGCAUGGCUGUCGUCAGCUCGUGUCGUGAGAUGUUGGGUUAAGUCCCGCAACGAGCGCAACCCUUGUUCUGUGUUGCCAGCAUGCCUUUCGGGGUGAUGGGGACUCACAGGAGACUGCCGGGGUCAACUCGGAGGAAGGUGGGGACGACGUCAAGUCAUCAUGCCCCUUAUGUCUUGGGCUGCACACGUGCUACAAUGGCCGGUACAAUGAGCUGCGAUGCCGUGAGGUGGAGCGAAUCUCAAAAAGCCGGUCUCAGUUCGGAUUGGGGUCUGCAACUCGACCCCAUGAAGUCGGAGUUGCUAGUAAUCGCAGAUCAGCAUGCUGCGGAA
RNAcentral lists this ribosomal RNA (413 nucleotides) under Streptomyces violaceusniger. RNAcentral's name for it is "bacterial SSU rRNA". It matches the Rfam family "Bacterial small subunit ribosomal RNA", at positions 957 to 1363 of the family's 1533-position model. Lineage: Bacteria; Bacillati; Actinomycetota; Actinomycetes; Kitasatosporales; Streptomycetaceae. The record is from RNAcentral.